AAGGAGCUGCGGCCACCGUUCGCCCUACCUCUGCGCCUCGGGGCGGGCGCGCCGGUAAAAAUGGCGAAAUGGGGGUAGGCGGCGCUGGACCUGAAGAGAUGGGGCGCGCAGGUGGGGCGGUUGUCAGAGCCCCCUGACGUGGGCGCCGGGCUUUUAUCGGCGAUUUGAUCUGGCGACCUCGGGCCGGCGCCUAAGAGGUCAGACUGCGGAGCCUGCGGGUCGCCAACGGCCCCGCCGAGAGCCGGAGGCAAUGGAUGAACAGAGCGUGGAGAGCAUUGCUGAGGUUUUCCGAUGUUUCAUUUGUAUGGAGAAAUUGCGGGAUGCACGCCUGUGUCCUCAUUGCUCCAAGCUGUGUUGUUUCAGCUGUAUUAGGCGCUGGCUGACAGAGCAGAGAGCUCAAUGUCCUCAUUGCCGUGCUCCACUCCAGCUACGAGAACUAGUAAAUUGUCGUUGGGCAGAAGAAGUAACACAACAGCUUGAUACUCUUCAACUCUGCAGUCUCACCAAACAUGAAGAAAAUGAAAAGGACAAGUAUAUCCUCAAUUUCUUUGUUCAAUGUUGAAUGGAUUUUGCCUUUGUAUUGUUUAAUGACACUAUAUUGGUAGUUGCCUUUUGGUUAUUUAUGAAUAAGUAGUGUUAUAUUUCUUGUUUUUAAUUCUGUCAGUCAUGCGCUGUUACUGUUAAGUAACAUAUUCUUACUGUGUUUAUUUAACAACAGUUAUUUCAUGCCAUGUAUACACACAGAUACCUCUCGCCCUCCCCUCCCCCCACACAGAAAGUACUUUGCUAGAUGAUAGGCAUACAAAGGUAAAUGAGACAUGAUUUCUGUUAACUGUUUAAUGGG
This 844-nucleotide small RNA is filed under the name Pan troglodytes (chimpanzee). RNAcentral's name for it is "retained intron". Lineage: Eukaryota; Metazoa; Chordata; Mammalia; Primates; Hominidae. The record is from RNAcentral.